CCUAGGGGGCGCAGCAGUGGGGAAUAUUGGACAAUGGGCGAAAGCCUGAUCCAGCCAUGCCGCGUGUGUGAAGAAGGCCUUCGGGUUGUAAAGCACUUUCAGUGGGGAAGAAAGCCUUGGGGCUAAUACCCUCGAGGAAGGACAUCACCCACAGAAGAAGCACCGGCUAACUCCGUGCCAGCAGCCGCGGUAAUACGGAGGGUGCGAGCGUUAAUCGGAAUUACUGGGCGUAAAGCGCGCGUAGGCGGUCUGAUAAGCCGGUUGUGAAAGCCCCGGGCUCAACCUGGGAACGGCAUCCGGAACUGUCAGGCUAGAGUGCAGGAGAGGAAGGUAGAAUUCCCGGUGUAGCGGUGAAAUGCGUAGAGAUCGGGAGGAAUACCAGUGGCGAAGGCGGCCUUCUGGACUGACACUGACGCUGAGGUGCGAAAGCGUGGGUAGCAAACAGGAUUAGAUACCCUAGUAGUC
Molecule: ribosomal RNA, 465 nt
Filed under: Vreelandella stevensii
Lineage: Bacteria; Pseudomonadati; Pseudomonadota; Gammaproteobacteria; Oceanospirillales; Halomonadaceae
Description: partial 16S ribosomal RNA
Rfam family: Bacterial small subunit ribosomal RNA
Source: RNAcentral